CUCGCUGCCAGAGCAGGAAUCCCAUAUCACUCUGUUUGCUGUACAGAUUGUGAUGAAUCUGAAGUCCAGAGACACACAGGCUACAAAAAAAAGUGAAGUGUCCAGUGAGCCGACAGCCAGAACUGCCACCAGCAUGCCGGAAAGGGCUUGUCAAGGGUGGGAAGGAAGAGUGGCUGCACCACAUUGUCUUCCAGGCAUGUUUGGCACGUGGUCCCUAAGGGACUGCUGGAUGCUGGAGUAUAUUUAGGGCAGCUUCUGGGCUACUUGAGCUCACAGUGAGAGAGGUAAGGCAAAAACAUGCAGCUGCACCCAACUCCUAGGGACUAUCUUGCUUCCCACUGCUUGUGAGAAAGGUCUGAGCAGAGCAGAGAGAACUUAGACCCACAUCACACUACACACCAACUUCUCUGCCUCUUUCUAGCUGCCAAAGUAGGAGGGUGGGAGUUCCAGUGAAAACUUUCUUCUGGAGUGGGGAAAAAGACAAAUAAAGAAUAGCCAGUGCUGUGCUCACACUCUUCUUUGCAUCCUAAAGUAGCCCCACAGACUGACAUAAAUGAUUUUAUUAACUUGUGCUCACAUGAAAUACACACAAACACGGAAGCAGGGAAGGAUUUCAGGGCUGUUUCCAGCUCUGAAGCAGCUCUUUGACAGGGCUACACUGGUUGUUUUUUUUCUCCCCAGAUGAGAGACUGGUCAACACCACCCCUAAACUCACCUCCACCCCCAAACAGCUGUUCUGCCAAAGGGUGGAGAAGCAGACCUCCUGACUGAGGGUGGAGCAGUUUAAAGGGGAGGAAAGCAGUGACUUCACUUCAUAUUAAGUAAUAGCAGAGGAGGGUGUGCGUCACUCUGAAAAACAAGACUUUGGGUGGGGGCAAAGACUCUCUGCAACAUCUUAUGCAUGGAGCCUUCCUCUUUGUGGGAAAUGAGCAGGAUACACCAUUCUGAAGAGUGAAUUUAGAAAGUAAAAUAUCUUGAGCACCUCGUAAUCUUAUUUAAGGGGAUCCAAGAAGAACAUCAAGGUGAAAGGGCUCAUAAUGGUGAAAGUCUUUUGGGUUAGACUUUAGGAAACACUUUCCUCCAGCAAGGAUAGAGAAACAUAGGAAUAGAUCGAGUCCCUGUGAAAAAUGCAGCAUGUGGGGGUCAGUUUUCCUAGGGGGCAGAUGGCACUGGGGUCUGUAUACAAAUACUAGGGGAGUGAUGGCAGGACAGACAAAGGUGUCUUUGUGAUCACAGUUUUACCUGCAAGGGUGCUGCUCACAGCUUCCUCUCACCCUGUGCAACUGAACAAGUAUCACAAGAUGUGGAUCUAUCUUCCCAAAUAAUCCUUUCCCUGCAGCUGACUCCUUCAGGGCUGUAUGAACAGCCUCAGGCCAGUCUGUUGCAUUCUCUCUGCCUGAUUCAAUUGGCUUCUGCCAGUCCUGACUACUGCUGAAACAGUCUGUCAGGCUUGAGAGCAGUCUGGUAUGUUAGACAUCAUUCCAGGCUGUUCUGGGCAACACAGGAGGAAGAAGCAGUCUUGGACUCCAAAGGCUUCAAAUGUAACAAAUGUUUCCAUACUGCUGAUACUGUUCAUACUGCUCUGAAAGUGCAAUCACCAGAAUGGCCAUCCGAACAGAGGCUGUUAAAAGACUUCCCAAAGACUCUGUGCAAUGCUUGUGGCAUCAUCAGUACCUCUGGCCCCAUUUGCAGUGAGGACAUAACCAAAGGCACUUAAUUUCCUCUCCUAGACCUUCCAGGUGAAACUUAAAAUACCUUGGCAGUGUCCUAGAGACACAUGGCAGUGUGGGGGCACACCUCCCUCGUUCCUCUGGCUAGCACAGGGAGCUGCAGUGCUGUGCAUCGGUGCUGGCGUGUGCUUCACUCACUGGGCAUUUACCCAGGAUUUUGCCUGGGCAUGUUUGACCUUAGAUCCAUGCUACCACCCAUAUGAGUUAUUUUAUAUCCAGUUUUUACACACCUUUUCAUGCUGCAACCACACAUGGUCAGCGCAUCUCAGAUGCAGUCAGGAAUUCAGGCUUUGCUUAGGAGAGGUGUGAAAGCUGCCAGGCUGCCAAGGGGUCAGGCCCUUAAUUUUUUUUCCUGUAUAUAGACUGAAACCCCAGUUUUGUGGUACCAACCUCCCAAUGGCUCCUCAUGCAGACUUUCAUGAGAGACUCAUCAAGUCUGCAAAGAGCUCAAACACAGGCAAUAAGCAGCUUUCCUCAGCCUUGCCUCAAGUAUAUGACAAGGGAAAUAUAAAAAAUUAAAGAAGGAAUAAAUGUACUCUUUCUUCCAGUCUGACUGACAACAGCAAGGGCAGUUCAAUUUAGUUAAUAAAUAGAAUUUCGUGUUCCAACUUCCAACCUGAGAAAAAUAAAUUAACUGAGUGUUCAGAGAGUUCUACUGCCUUGCUCACAAAUCAUAAAUGGCUUAGCAGAACAGCACUGUUUUGGAAAUAAAGAAGAAAAGGACAAAGGAACAUAAACAAAAUAACAGGCAUCUACCGGCUCCCAAAAUGAUACUUGCCAAAGCCCUUUCUCAUUGCUUGCUGGCACAGCUGCUAGAGCAGACCAUUGCUCCCCUGGUCUGGAAACACUCCACUCACAGCUGACAGUUCAGGGGGACUGCCACACACCUGCUGGGUAGCAAAGGCUUCCUCAAGCUGGAGCUGAGAUAGGUUAGGAGGCCCUGACCAGUCCCUCUGCCUUGCUGCUUCUUGCAGCUAUUCUAACUCCUUUAGCAGCUCCUCUUAAGUGGGUCCAGCUAAGCAUCUCCCACCACCUGCAGUUCCUGUUAAGCACUCCUGAUCCUCACUGGGUUCUGGCUUUUUGUUGCUCAAAGACAACUUCUUCAACAGCCUUUUCUGGUCCUCUAGUUUGCUGUAUUUUUAUCAGCCAAGGCUGCAAACCAUUACAUGAGGCUAAGGGUGGUGAUCUACUAUGGCACAGCUAGUCCCAGCUUUUCACACUUGGUCAUCCUCAUUAUCCUCAUUUUUAUGCUGAUGAUGUUGUUGUUUUCUUACACAAAUCCAUCCAUAUGUGCUAGCAUAUGUUGAUCAGUAUUAGGCCCACCUCUAGGCUGCUUCAGCUCUUCUCUCUCAAACUGAGGCCAGCAGAGCAAUUCUGUCCCUGUAGCUCUCCUUCCCUCUGGGCUGACAUGCUGGUCAGCCAACAAAACAGAAAUGGAAACACGGGGUCUAAGUUAGUUCCCUGUAUCUUGCAGUCAGCCUGAGGCUCUCAUUAGGAUUCAUCAAAUCCUAAAAAAUAGUAGUUGUCCUAUAUAAGCCUCAGGACAGUCCUCUGUUUAUAACAACUUAAGAUCCUACUGUCACAUCCAUGCUGCAGACAAAUGAACUCAGAAAGACUAAGCCAUACUAGCAAAUUUGUGAGUCCCAAUGCUUCUCCACCCCUUCCCUGUUUUCUUAGAGCAGGCACUAUUCCUUUCCCAAACCAGGGAAUUAGUAACACUAAUGGGGGAAUGUGUCACCUCUGCAUGCUGAGCGUGACUCACAAAGUCAAUACAGCCUUAGCAGCUGAGAGGAACAAUGAGUUGUGUUCUCAGUUACGCUUUUUUUGGCUGCACCAUCACUGGAGCUCAGAACAAGGGCAGUGAUGUCAUGGCCAUAGGCUUAAUGUGUAAGUAUCAUAUACAGCACUACCAGCUCUCUGUGAUCUGUUACUUCCACAUUAACGUAACUUGGGGCAUAUAUACACACAAAUAGUUGCCAGAGCCAAGAAUAAGUAAUUUGGAACAGAUUAUUUUAUUUCAGGCUUUUAACAAGGAUGCUUGUCAGUCCCAACAGGCUUAUUCUGGGGAGGUAGUACCUAGCUCAGAACUGAGCUAUAUAAUUUAGUCAAGACCUCAGCUAUAAAGACAGAAGUUUGGAAUGUAGAAAUGGGCAGACAAGAAUCCUGCUAAAAAAUAGCUUACAUUUUUCUGACAAUUAGCCAUUGUUGCAAGUAUUUAUAUAAAUAGAGUAAGGAAAAGUUCAGAGACAAAGGAGGAAAUUACUCCCAGCCAUUUUCAAGAACAUUACUUUGAAGCAUUUUGUGCACUUGUAUUUGAGCAAGACUUUUCUCCGUUAGCCUCUGAGUGGAGUGGGGAAUUGUUCCUUCCUUUCAGAAAUGUGCUGUGUGUAUUAAGUGGUCUGUCAAAGGAGCCAGUGCAGGAGGGGUGUAGAGCUGAGCAGACAGUGACAUUGUGAUCAGAGGCCAGCCCCUGGGUCAUGCAGGCAGCUGGAACUCGCUGUAACCUGCCUGGAGCAUGUGCUGAUAACCCCGGCUGUGGGGUGGGUUCACGGGGUGCUGUGAGCAAACAUCCUCACCCCGGCCACUGCGCAGGGCUGGAGCCUGCACUGGGCUCUGGGCAGCCCACGGUGCUGCUAGAACCCAGCUCAGGGCAUCUGAACUGCACAUGGACGGGGCUGCAGGAGCUACUGUCUGCUUCUGCAGGGACAGCUGUGCCAAGAGCGACAGUUCCCUGCUUUAUAAAACUCUUUCCUAAUGUAUUGCCAGGUGCCUCAGGUGACAAGGCUUGCCUCUGUCCCGUGUUAUGGGCCCCUUUCAUCAUUUGCUGGGUUAAGCCAGGAUUCCUCUGGCCAGAAAAACAGGGGAAGCCCUGAGAAUUCAUAACACGAAAUCUUAUCUCAAGGGAAAAAACAGAGGCAUGUGUGUAGAGGCUUGUUGAACUACACAUUCCUCUAAUAGUUUCCCAAUGCUGAGUACCAGUGGGACAGUCACACACUUUGCUGUGUGU
Long non-coding RNA from Passer domesticus (house sparrow), 4737 nucleotides. RefSeq lists it as uncharacterized. The transcript is spliced from 3 exons. The record is from RefSeq and is a predicted model, not a curated record. NCBI's taxonomy places the organism in Eukaryota, Metazoa, Chordata, Aves, Passeriformes, Passeridae.